CGGCCUCCUACCAUGCAGUCGAGCGAGGAGAUUUCCUUCGGGGAUGAACCUAGCGGCGGACGGGUGCAGUAACACGUGGGCAACCUGCCUUAUAGAGGGGAAUAGCCUUCCGAAAGGAAGAUUAAUACCGCAUAAGAUUACAUCUUCGCAUGAAGAAGUAAUUAAAGGAGUAAUCCGCUAUAAGAUGGGCCCGCGGCGCAUUAGCUAGUUGGUGAGGUAACGGCUCACCAAGGCGACGAUGCGUAGCCGACCUGAGAGGGUGAUCGGCCACAUUGGGACUGAGACACGGCCCAGACUCCUACGGGAGGCAGCAGUGGGGAAUAUUGCACAAUGGGGGAAACCCUGAUGCAGCAACGCCGCGUGAGUGAUGAAGGUCUUCGGAUCGUAAAGCUCUGUCUUCAGGGACGAUAAUGACGGUACCUGAGGAGGAAGCCACGGCUAACUACGUGCCAGCAGCCGCGGUAAUACGUAGGUGGCAAGCGUUGUCCGGAUUUACUGGGCGUAAAGGGUGCGUAGGCGGAUGAUUAAGUCAGAUGUGAAAUACCAGGGCUCAACCCUGGGGCUGCAUUUGAUACUGGUUAUCUAGAGUGCAGGAGAGGAGAGCGGUAUUCCUAGUGUAGCGGUGA
This 626-nucleotide ribosomal RNA is filed under the name uncultured bacterium. RNAcentral's name for it is "bacterial SSU rRNA". It matches the Rfam family "Bacterial small subunit ribosomal RNA", at positions 43 to 684 of the family's 1533-position model. The record is from RNAcentral.